UACGGAGGGUGCAAGCGUUGUCCGGAAUCACUGGGCGUAAAGGGCGCGUAGGCGGUUUGUCGCGUCUGCCGUGAAAGUCCGGGGCUCAACUCCGGAUCUGCGGUGGGUACGGGCAGACUAGAGUGAUGUAGGGGAGACUGGAAUUCCUGGUGUAGCGGUGAAAUGCGCAGAUAUCAGGAGGAACACCGGUGGCGAAGGCGGGUUUCUGGGCCGUAACUGACGCUGAGGAGCGAAAGCAUGGGGAGCGAACAGG
Molecule: ribosomal RNA, 253 nt
Filed under: uncultured bacterium
Lineage: Bacteria
Description: partial 16S ribosomal RNA
Rfam family: Bacterial small subunit ribosomal RNA
Source: RNAcentral